AGUGAACGCUGAGCGUUCUCGCGUCCUUAAUUUUCUAUGGUCAAGCUACUAAGGGCGUACGGUGGAUGCCUUGGCGCUGGGAGGCGAUGAAGGGCGUCGUAAGCUGCGAUAAGCCCCGGUGAGCUGCUGCGAGCUUCGACCCGGGGAUGCCCGAAUGGGGAAACCCGGCGGGAGUUAUGUCCCGUCAUCCUCCCCCGAAUUCAUAGGGGGACGGAAGCGAACGGGGGGAAUUGAACCAUCUCAGUACCCCCAGGAAGAGAAAGCAAAUGCGAUUCCCCUAGUAGCGGCGAGCGAACGGGGAUCAGCCUAAACCGGCCGUGCGUCAAGCGUGCGGGCGUUGCUCGGCCGGUGUCGUGGGAUCGAUUCGGACUCCCCCGCUCGGGAGUCGGAGAGUUACAAACCAGACCGUUAGUUGAGUGAUCUGGAAAGUUCAGCCACAGAGGGUAAUAGCCCCGUAGGCGAAAACGGAUCUGGCUCUCUGGGAUCGCGUCCCAAGUACCACGGGACACGUGGAACCCUGUGGGAAUCUGCGAGGACCAUCUCGCAAGGCUAAACACUACCCAGCGACCGAUAGUGAACAAGUACCGUGAGGGAAAGGUGAAAAGAACCCCUGUUAGGGGAGUGAAAUAGUACCUGAAACCGUACGUCUACAAGCAGUUGAAGGGCUAUGCCCGCAAGGGAAUGCCCGACAGCGUGCCUUUUGCAUAAUGAGCCGGCUAGUUA
This 723-nucleotide ribosomal RNA is filed under the name uncultured Acidobacteriota bacterium. RNAcentral's name for it is "bacterial LSU rRNA". It matches the Rfam family "Bacterial large subunit ribosomal RNA", at positions 1 to 630 of the family's 2925-position model. The record is from RNAcentral. Lineage: Bacteria; Pseudomonadati; Acidobacteriota.